This 253-nucleotide ribosomal RNA is filed under the name uncultured bacterium. RNAcentral describes it as "partial 16S ribosomal RNA". It matches the Rfam family "Bacterial small subunit ribosomal RNA", at positions 524 to 776 of the family's 1533-position model. The record is from RNAcentral.
UACGUAGGGGGCAAGCGUUAUUCGGAAUGAUUGGGCGUAAAGGGUGCGCAGACAGUCAGCUAAGUCAACUGUUAAAUUUCCCGGCCUAACUGGGAGCACGCAGUAGAAACUGAUUGACUAGAGGAUGGAAGAGAGAAGUGGAAUUCUCGGAGUAGCGGUAAAAUGCGUAGAUCUCGAGAGGAACACCGAUGGCGAAGGCAGCUUCUUGGUCCAUUUCUGACAUUCAUGCACGAAAGCGUGGGGAGCAAACAGG